AGAGAAUGGGACCUGAGUUGUGAGAAAUCUCAUUCAUCCAUCAGCAGAAACUUGCAAAAUAUUAAAGGGACAGGAAAUUCAUAGAAAAGAAAGCAUAAUAAGUAAAAUCUUAAAAGAAAAGAGGCAUAGGGAUCACAUGGAAACCAUAAGUCACAAAUGCAAAAUUGAAGGAUUUUUUAAAAAGACGUAAUGUUAUAAGGAAAUUCAUUUCUUUCUUAUUUUUCUAGUCUUCCCAUUCAUUACUAGAGUUUGGAAAUGUAAUAAGAAUACAUCACAUAGUUAUGAAGAAGCCAGUGUGCAGUGGUGAAGUAAUGGUUUUUGGAGUGAGAGAAAUCUGAGUUGAAAGUUGGCUCUGCUUCCAUGUGACUGAGGGAGAAGAGCCCAGGAACAAUUGAAAAAAUAGUGGAAUUUGGAUGAUGCGUACAAUCUAGAGGGCUCAGCCCCUAAAGUUGAUUACUGAAGGAAUCGUACACAAAUGUUUAGCCUGAGCUCACUACAAAAUUGAUUAGCCUUCUGCUUCACUUCUUCUGCCUUAAAAUGGCUUAGCUUAAAAAUCUGACUUAAUAAACAAGGCAAUGGAGGAAAUCCAAGCAACUAAUCCUAUUUCACUGACUCUUCUAAUGGUUGUCAGGAGCAUUCAGGGAAGGCCAUAUGUAGAGAAUGCUCUAUUAUGGUUGUUUAAUGGUUGAAACAGUAAUUCUGAAGUUUUUGCCAGUAUAUUUAAAUUCAGAAAUCACUGAAAAGCAUCAGAAUCUCAGAAUGUACUGUAAUGGACUGAUAGCAGACACUCCAGCACAUUUGUGUGCAAUCACACAUACAUUUGGUGUUAGGACUCAAUUAUUAGAAACACAUCAUUCUUCCCUGAAAUAGCAUAAUAGAAUUCAUAGGCAGAAGUUAGAAUUCUCACAUGUGCCACAGAUCUAAAAACAUUCAUGUAGGCAGCCAUGCGGACAGCCUGUUCUCCAGGAAACAAAUAAUCUGGUAAUAAUGACUAUCUAUCUAACAGUAAC
This 1010-nucleotide long non-coding RNA is filed under the name Heterocephalus glaber (naked mole-rat). Its description in RNAcentral is "lncRNA (ENSHGLG00100044378.1)". Lineage: Eukaryota; Metazoa; Chordata; Mammalia; Rodentia; Bathyergidae. The record is from RNAcentral.